Molecule: long non-coding RNA, 1533 nt
Filed under: Scleropages formosus (Asian bonytongue)
Lineage: Eukaryota; Metazoa; Chordata; Actinopteri; Osteoglossiformes; Osteoglossidae
Description: lncRNA (ENSSFOG00015033054.1)
Source: RNAcentral
GUGCGUGAAGGGCUUAGAGGGCAAAAUGCCAUUCUUCUGACCAAUUCUGAAAAAGGAUAUGAAAGAGAAAGCGAUAUCGUGCAAUCUAGAAGCAAAAGAAACCCUUUCCACCCUGUUUUUCGUUUGCAUCUGAAGACGUCCAGUAAAUGUUGAGCGUUCAGACUUGUUGGUUAUGAAGGCGACCAAAAGCGUGCGUGAAAUACUCCCGAUUCGACCCGAGGAAACGGAGCAAGACUGGUGCUCGACGCACCGUCUCCUUGCGAGCGCGGAAGGCGUCUUACAUCAGCUGCUUUCGGCGCUGUGCGUGGGAGCGCAUCUCAGCGAUUGCUCCUGCUACAAAUACCGCGUUCCGAAAGGUAGCGGAGCAGAGCCGCACGUUCGCCGCUCACUCUCAAGCUCCCAUCGAUCGCCUUUCCACGAUGCAUCGCUGUGCCCUCCUAGUCAUCCUGCUUGCUUUCCUCACGUGCAGCUCCGCACAGCAGGAGAGAUAUCACCGCGUCACCGCAUCAAACUGCUGCCGGAGGGUCUCGUCGGCUAUCGUCCGCCUGAAGAUCACCGCAUACGAGCGCCAGCCCGCCAAGGGCUCCUGCAUUGAGGCCAUCGUGUUCCGCACAGAAAGGGGGAAAGUGUGUGCCAACCCGAGGGCCCCGUGGGUCGCAAAGAAAAUCAAAGGUAUCGGCAAGAAAUCGUUUCAUCUGAAAAAUGUAACCAUUUGACCCCCGAAGGACGGCGUCGCACACCGGACGUGAGUCCGCGGGGUCACUCGGGACGAGCGUCCGCAAGGAGGAGUCACACAUCGGUCAAACUGUUUCCCGACUCACAUUCACAGUUUCCUCACUUGUGAUUCCAACAGCCUUCCAUUCUCACGCUCUUCCUUUCGCUUGCGCAUCACAACCCCUUUCGGACGAUGGACAAGUUAACCGCCUCUGUUUGGGAGGCAAUAACAUUCAUCGCUGACCCGACUUCCUAAACACCCCCUCCACAUACACGCUUUUCUUGUAAUUACAUCACAAAACUAAUCAGAAAACAAAAACUUGAUAGAAACAAUGAACAGAUCGAGCAACAGAUACAAGUUCUCUAAAUAUAAGUAAGGUUUCAUUCAAGAAGGUUCCAUUUGCUGAGAUAAAGAGCGUUAUAAAAUCAUUUGAGAAGUUUAACAGAAUAGAAAAGUAUCAAGCAAAUAAGGCAAUUAAAGAUGUGAAAUAAUGACACAAUAAUGUUUUGCUUUCAUUUCUAGAAGUGAGUGAAUUAGCUGCACGUGUCUGUAUUUUCUCAGGGGUUCCAGAGUUUCCGAAAAGUGACAAGUGAGAGAUGGAAAGUUUCCAGCAACGAGCAAGAAACAAGGGUUCACAGAGUCGUCCCGACCGGCUUCAUCACUUCUUGCGCGAGCGGCUUAGAGCAGCGCUUCUGCAGUUAAGUUUAAAGAACUGCACAAUGCAAAAAUGAUUUCAAAGUGAAACCACCAAUUAACUGACUUCUUUCGCUCAUGCAAUUAUUUUGUAGUAACUGAGAAAAAAUGCUGACUUUUUCUGC